Molecule: RNA transcript, 2334 nt
Organism: Balaenoptera acutorostrata (minke whale)
Lineage: Eukaryota; Metazoa; Chordata; Mammalia; Artiodactyla; Balaenopteridae
Gene: OGG1
Gene name: 8-oxoguanine DNA glycosylase
Exons: 8
Source: RefSeq, a predicted model, not a curated record
AUGUUAGCUCGCUCUCUUCUGCAGCAUAGCAUGAGACAUCGCACUCUAGCCUCCGUCCCGGCCCUGUGGGCCUCCAUCCCCUGUCCACGCUCUGAGCUGCGCUUGGACCUGGUUCUGGCUUCUGGACAGUCAUUCCGGUGGAGGGAGCAAAGCCCUGCGCACUGGAGUGGCGUGCUGGCCGACCAGGUAUGGACACUGACCCAGACUGAGGAGCAUCUUUACUGCACUGUGUACCGAGGGGAUAAGGGCCGGGUUGGCAGGCCCACACUGGAAGAGCUAAAGGCCGUGCGACAGUACUUCCAACUGGAUGUCAGCCUUGUUCAGCUGUAUCACCACUGGAGUUCCGUGGACCCCCACUUUCAAGAGGUGGCUCAGAAAUUCCAAGGUGUGCGACUCCUGCAACAGGACCCCAUCGAGUGCCUCUUCUCCUUCAUCUGUUCCUCCAACAACAACAUUGCCCGCAUCACUGGCAUGGUGGAGCGGCUCUGCCAGACCUUCGGACCUCGGCUCCUCCAGCUUGAUGAUGUCGCCUACCAUGGCUUCCCCAGCUUGCAGGCCCUGACUGGGCCACACGUGGAGGCUCAGCUCAGGAAGCUGGGCCUGGGGUAUCGUGCCCGCUACGUGAGUGCCAGUGCCCGAGCCAUCCUGGAAGAACGGGGUGGACUUCCCUGGCUGCAGCAGCUGCGCAAGGCCCCCUAUGAGGAGGCCCAUAAGGCCCUCUGCACCCUGCCUGGGGUAGGCACCAAGGUGGCCGACUGCAUCUGCUUGAUGGCCCUAGACAAGCCCCAGGCUGUGCCCGUGGACGUCCACGUGUGGCAGAUCGCUCAAUGUGACUACAGCUGGCACCCCACCACCGCCAAGGGUCCGAGCCCGCAGGCCAACAAGGAACUGGCAGGGAGAGAAAAGGUGUGAUGAAUUCGACUGAAGCCAGCCAGAGGAGGCUCGUUGCCGAGGUCCCCAACUCCACCUCCAUCAUCACCCAGUGCUGCCCCCAACUCUUGAAUUCCUGCAUUUUCCAGGAAGAGUGAUCUCCUCUACCUGGCAGGAAGCAUGGUGUGAGGCAGCCCCAACUUUCCAACUGAACCCAGCAAAAGAGGAGCUACACCCAGUUUCAUGUAUCAGUCUCAGGGAAGGACUCUGAUGGGCUCUGCUGGAGUGACAUGCCUAUGCGUUUACCCCCAGAACUGUUGCCAGAGGAAUAAGGUGCUAUACAGGUAGCUGGGCUUAUGGCUGCCCAGAUACACCACACUUCCCAGCGUCCCUUGCAGUCAGGGGUGGUCAUCUGACGAACUCUCUCCAGUGGAAAGUGAUUAGAAGAGAUAAGAGCCACAGCUGGCCACGGCCUUCACACACUCCUCCUUGCUCUUUUUCUGUGGGCUUGGAGUGGCAAUCACACUUGGAGUGACCUUGUGCAGAGUGCAUGUUUAAGACAGCAAAGCCAGCAUACGUGGGGUCCCCGUCUGAUGGUGUGGAACGGAGAUGUCCCCCUACCCCCACCUCAGCCAACCUGGAACGUGUGCCCAGAAAGACGUGGGAGAGAAAGACGCUAUCGUGUUUGAGACAGCCAGGAAACUGAGGCUCAAGAGGUGAAGAGAUAUGCCUAAGGGCAGCCAGCAGGCAUAAAGAAAGGGACCCUGAACCUGGGGUUUGAAUCCUGCUUCUGUGUAUUAGCUGUGUGACCUCAAGCAAACAGUUCCCUUUUUUGAGCCUCGACCUUGUUGGGUGUAACAUGGGGUUAACCACUGUCUUUGCCUCUAACGAGAGGAUGUGUAGAAAGCCCCCUUGCACGGGGCCUUUAGCCAACGCUCAGCAAAAGUAACUGUGGAGUAGUGGCUACCUUGGGGGGAGGUUAAAAACUGGGAGGGGGGGCUUCCCUGGUGGCGCAGUGGUUGAGAGUCUGCCUGCCAAUGCAGGGGACACGGGUUCGAGCCCUGGUCUGGGAAGAUCCCACAUGCCGCGGAGCGACUGGGCCCGUGAGCCACAAUUGCUGAGCCUGCGCGUCUGGAGCCUGUGCUCCGCAACAGGAAAGGCCGCGAUAGUGAGAGGCCCGCGCACCGCGAUGAAGAGUGGCCCCCACUUGCCGCAACUAGAGAAAGCCCUCGCACAGAAAACGAAGACCCAACACAGCCAUAAAUUAAUUAAUUAAUUAAUUAAUUAAUUAAAAAAAAAACUGGGAGGGGCGUGAGAGAGUCUUCGAGAAUACUGAUGAUGUCUUCUUUUGUGGUCCUGGGCCUACCUGUACAAGUGUGCUCAUUUGUGAAAACUGAUCAAGCUGUACAUUUAUGAUCUAUGUACCCUUCUAAAUGUAUAACGUACUGCAAUAAACAAUAAAAA